RNAcentral lists this ribosomal RNA (253 nucleotides) under uncultured bacterium. RNAcentral's name for it is "partial 16S ribosomal RNA". It matches the Rfam family "Bacterial small subunit ribosomal RNA", at positions 524 to 776 of the family's 1533-position model. The record is from RNAcentral.
UACGUAGGGACCAAGCGUUGUCCGGAAUCAUUGGGCGUAAAGCGCGCGUAGGUGGCUUCGUAAGUCCGUUGUGAAAGUCAAAGGCUCAACCUUUGAAAGCCGAUGGAUACUGCGGAGCUAGAGUACGGAAGAGGCGAGUGGAAUUCCUGGUGUAGCGGUGGAAUGCGCAGAUAUCAGGAGGAACACCAAUAGCGAAGGCAGCUCGCUGGGACGUUACUGACACUAAGGCGGGAAAGCGUGGGGAGCGAACAGG